Molecule: ribosomal RNA, 896 nt
Filed under: uncultured Klebsiella sp.
Lineage: Bacteria; Pseudomonadati; Pseudomonadota; Gammaproteobacteria; Enterobacterales; Enterobacteriaceae
Description: bacterial SSU rRNA
Rfam family: Bacterial small subunit ribosomal RNA
Source: RNAcentral
GGACCGGCCGGCAGGCCUAAACAUGCAGUCGAGCGGUAGCACAGAGAGCUUGCUCUCGGGUGACGAGCGGCGGACGGGUGAGUAAUGUCUGGGAAACUGCCUGAUGGAGGGGGAUAACUACUGGAAACGGUAGCUAAUACCGCAUAAUGUCGCAAGACCAAAGUGGGGGACCUUCGGGCCUCAUGCCAUCAGAUGUGCCCAGAUGGGAUUAGCUAGUAGGUGGGGUAACGGCUCACCUAGGCGACGAUCCCUAGCUGGUCUGAGAGGAUGACCAGCCACACUGGAACUGAGACACGGUCCAGACUCCUACGGGAGGCAGCAGUGGGGAAUAUUGCACAAUGGGCGCAAGCCUGAUGCAGCCAUGCCGCGUGUGUGAAGAAGGCCUUCGGGUUGUAAAGCACUUUCAGCGGGGAGGAAGGCGAUAAGGUUAAUAACCUUGUCGAUUGACGUUACCCGCAGAAGAAGCACCGGCUAACUCCGUGCCAGCAGCCGCGGUAAUACGGAGGGUGCAAGCGUUAAUCGGAAUUACUGGGCGUAAAGCGCACGCAGGCGGUCUGUCAAGUCGGAUGUGAAAUCCCCGGGCUCAACCUGGGAACUGCAUUCGAAACUGGCAGGCUAGAGUCUUGUAGAGGGGGGUAGAAUUCCAGGUGUAGCGGUGAAAUGCGUAGAGAUCUGGAGGAAUACCGGUGGCGAAGGCGGCCCCCUGGACAAAGACUGACGCUCAGGUGCGAAAGCGUGGGGAGCAAACAGGAUUAGAUACCCUGGUAGUCCACGCCGUAAACGAUGUCGAUUUGGAGGUUGUGCCCUUGAGGCGUGGCUUCCGGAGCUAACGCGUUAAAUCGACCGCCUGGGGAGUACGGCCGCAAGUAAACGAAAAUUAAAUGUUGGGGGGGGGG